This 497-nucleotide ribosomal RNA is filed under the name uncultured bacterium. RNAcentral's name for it is "partial 16S ribosomal RNA". It matches the Rfam family "Bacterial small subunit ribosomal RNA", at positions 28 to 507 of the family's 1533-position model. The record is from RNAcentral.
GACGAACGCUGGCGGCGUGCCUAAUACAUGCCAGUAGAACGCUGAAGAGAGGAGCUUACUCUUCUUGGAUGAGUUGCGAACGGGUGAGUAACGCGUAGGUAACCUGCCUUGUAGCGGGGGAUAACUAUUGGAAACGAUAGCUAAUACCGCAUAACAAUGGAUGACACAUGUCAUUUAUUUGAAAGGGGCAAUUGCUCCACUACAAGAUGGACCUGCGUUAUAUUAGCUAGUAGGUGAGGUAAUGGCUCACCUAGGCGACGAUACAUAGCCGACCUGAGAGGGUGAUCGGCCACACUGGGACUGAGACACGGCCCAGACUCCUACGGGAGGCAGCAGUAGGGAAUCUUCGGCAAUGGGGGCAACCCUGACCGAGCAACGCCGCGUGAGUGAAGAAGGUUUUCGGAUCGUAAAGCUCUGUUGUAAGUCAAGAACGGGUGUGAGAGUGGAAAGUUCACACUGUGACGGUAGCUUACCAGAAAGGGACGGCUAACUACGUG